GGUGCCAAGUCACAAGUGCAGAGAAACUUCCUCUUUCUUGGGCGGGGGUGGGGCCUGGCCGAAGCUCCAGGCCCCUGACCCGCGGGCUGAGGCCCUGAGUCACAGCCGAGUCCCUAGGCCCCCUGGUGUCUCCGCCCUCCCGGGCCCCGGCCGGGCGCCCCCAAACCCAGGCCGAGCAGGCACCGCGCCCCACCCGGCCCCGCAGCCCCACGGAUCCCGCACCCCGGCACCUGAGGAUGUUGUCCGCGUAGAUUGUCAGGCCUUUCUGGAUAGAAGUGGCGAAAGACUCCAGAAGGAAGGAGCAACAAACGUUCAAAAACAACCGAGUGGCAGUAAAAGGCUGCUGGGUUUCUGGUAUGUGAAUUAUUUCUAGAAUUACGUGAAUGCUUGAAAAUCUCUUGCGUAAGUCCCAGCUCAAAUAGCAUGAUGGCUAUUUAAAGAAGUUUCCAAACUGCACUUUGCAAUAUGGUGUUUUGUGGACUUGGUUUACCCAGUAGUGUGACCAGCAUUAAACGCAUACACAAUUAGGACAAAAUAGAAUAGAAUGCGGGGAGAGGAAAGACAAUAAAAAUAUA
Phyllostomus discolor (pale spear-nosed bat) is the source of this 575-nucleotide long non-coding RNA. RefSeq lists it as uncharacterized. Lineage: Eukaryota; Metazoa; Chordata; Mammalia; Chiroptera; Phyllostomidae. The transcript is spliced from 2 exons. The record is from RefSeq and is a predicted model, not a curated record.